Eriocheir sinensis (Chinese mitten crab) is the source of this 2869-nucleotide long non-coding RNA. RefSeq lists it as uncharacterized. The transcript has 4 exons. Lineage: Eukaryota; Metazoa; Arthropoda; Malacostraca; Decapoda; Varunidae. The record is from RefSeq and is a predicted model, not a curated record.
GGACAUUUCCAGCGCAGGAACAUUAUGGAAAUUUAAAGGUCGGGUCGUCAAGGAUUUAUAAAAGACUGUCGUAAGGCAACACAAUAAAAACAGAAAGGUCAGGGCAUAGAGCAUGACCUUUAGACCUUACUAGUGACCUGCAAAAACUCAAAAGUGUUCAAAAUACAAACAUUAUAGAAAUUUAAAAGUCGGGUCGUCAAGGAUUUAUACAAGACUGUCGUAAGGAAACACAAUAAAAACAGAAAGGUCAGGGCAUAGAGGAUGACCUUUAAACUCUACUAGCAACCUGCAAGAACUCAAAAAUGUUCAAAAUAUAAAAUGUUAGGAAGGAGUUUAAAUCACUAAUUGGGGCGCUAAAAUAUAUCACUGCAGGAAAAUACAAUAGUUUGAUGGUACAGAAAUCACCUCUAAUAUAUAUAUCCCACUACGUAUGUAUUAUAUGGUGAAGUUGACAGGUUAGGAACACAAAUCAAUAGGUUCUCUACACACAGCACAAGCCUAGGACUUUACGCUAACCUAACCCGACCACUCACCCGUCACCGCCAGCCCUGACCCAGCGGUAGCGAGCACUGGGCUGGCUACCGGGAAUGUUGAGGCACACACACACACACUCACACACACACACACACAUGAAUUCUUAGUUUACAUAGUUUACAUACGGUAUAGAAGUAAGAAGUUGAUAAAACUGUUGAUAAUACAUGGUUUAUUUGCCUCGUAUAUUCAUGCAAAAGCCAACACUUUGAAACCACUCCUGUAGGGUCAAAUUUUCCGUGCAUUUUUCAACCAACAUAUCCAUAUUUUUUUAGCUUGACUUUUACACGAGUCUAAAUUUAUCUGCCUCAUAUGUUCAUGCAAAAGCCAACACUUUGAAACCACUCCGGUAGGGCCAAAUUUUCCAUGGACGCCACACUCUCAGGGGCUGGUCUGCACUUUUCAACCAAUAUAUCCAUGUUCUUUUUAGCUUGACUUUUACACGAGUCUAAAUUUAUCUGCCUCGUAUGUUCAUGCAAAAGCCAACACUUUGAAACCACUCCGGUAGGGCCAAAUUUUCCAUGGACGCCACACUUUCAGGGGCUGGUCUGUAUCAUUUAACCAACAUAUCCAUAGUUUUUAGCUUGACCUUUACACGAGUCUAUAUUUAUCUGCCUCAUAUAUUCGUGCAAAACCCAAAACUUUAAACUCAUUCCUGUUGGGUCAAAUUUUCCAUGGACGUCACACUCCUAUGGGCUAUUAACUAACUAUUAACCAACUAUUAACCAACACAACUGUAGUUUUUCAGCUUGACUUCUACACGAGUCUAUACAGCAGGCCAAGCUUACAUUUCCUGGAAGCUGCACACACACACACACACACACACACACACACACACACACACACACACACACACACACUCAGCACAGGGCAUUAUUCCAGCUCUGUCAAGCUUGAAGAAAUACUUUCCUCGGCAGCGAGUCAACCUGAUGCAGGUUUGUUAAAGCUGAGAGAUCCAUCGCUCUUUUUCACAAACUGUCCCUGACCUAUGAACAGGGACCUCCUUGCGGCAGCCUGGAGCCUCCGCUGGUCCAAAAGAGCAAUGUAAGAAAGGGUCAUCAUCGUGAAACUGUCCCUGACCUAUGAACAGGGACCUCCUCGCAGCAGCCCGGAGCCUCCGCUGGUCCAAAAGAGCAAUGUAAGAAAGGGUCAUCAUCAUGAAACUGUCCCUGACCUAUGAACAGGGACCUCCUCGCGGCAGCCCGGAGCCUCCGCUGGUCCAAAAGAGCAAUGUAAGAAAGGGUCAUCAUCGUGUAUACUGGUGGAAAGGUCGACGUUUUGGGGGUCACUGUCCUUAAGGUCAAGAUUAGGUCAUGUACACUAAGUUUCUAGGGGGAUACUCUAACUUCUGCUACCACUAUGACUACUACUACUACAACUACUACUACUAAUCUUACCCUUCCUCCUCCUACUACAACUACUACUACUAUAAUUUACCUACACCUAAUUUCCAUUCCUCAAUCAAGCUUACCGAAGCCUUGAGAGAGGGACGACUUUCACUAAACUUCUACACGAGCAAGUCCCAAAUAUAUGCACCAAUUAGCAACUUAAAGUAUAAUAAUAAAAGAACUCUUCGAUCUCCGUCACGUCACGAUAAUACUCUCAAUAAAACCGUCUUUGUCCGUUUAUACAAAAAGGUCGGGAAGAAACAUCGGAAAAACGGAAAGGUCGGGGGGUGGAAGAUUUAUAAGACCGUCGUAAGGAAUCGUAAUAAGAACGGAAAGGUCGGGAUACAAAGCGUCGUAGAGAAAUAAAAUAAGAGAAAGGUCGGGGUACAAAGCCAUCGUGAAGAAACAUUGUAAAAACUUAAAGGUCAAGGCAUGGAGAAUAUAUUUACUAUACAAGACCGUCGCAAAUGAUCAUAAUAAAAACAGAAAGGUCGAGAUACAAAACCGUCGUAAUAUAAAUAUAAAGGUCGGGACGUGAGAGGCUUUAUACAAGACCGCCGUAAGGAAUCGUAAUAAAAACAUAAAGGUCACGAUACAAAACCAUCAUAAAGAAACAUUAUAAAAAAUUAAAGGUCGGGCCGUGAGAGGCUUUAUACAAGACCGCCGUAAGGAAACACAAUAAAACCAGAAAGGUCGAGGUGUGGAAACAGAAAGGUCAGGGUGUGGAAACAGAAAGGUCAGGGCAUGGAAACAGAAAGGUCAGGGCAUGGAAACAGAAAGGUCAGGGCAUGGAAACAGAAAGGUCAGGGCAUGGAAACAAAAAGGUCAGGGUGUGGAAACAGAAAGGUCAGGGCAUGGAAACAAAAAGGUCAGGGUGUGGAAACAGAAAGGUCAGGGCAUGGAAACAAAAAGGUCAGGGUGUGGAAACAGAAAGGUCAGGGCAUGGAAAC